UAGGGAAUCUUCGGCAAUGGACGGAAGUCUGACCGAGCAACGCCGCGUGAGUGAAGAAGGUUUUCGGAUCGUAAAGCUCUGUUGUAAGAAAAGAACGAGUGUGAGAGUGGAAAGUUCACACUGUGACGGUAUCUUACCAGAAAGGGACGGCUAACUACGUGCCAGCAGCCGCGGUAAUACGUAGGUCCCGAGCGUUGUCCGGAUUUAUUGGGCGUAAAGCGAGCGCAGGCGGUUAGAUAAGUCUGAAGUUAAAGGCUGUGGCUUAACCAUAGUACGCUUUGGAAACUGUUUAACUUGAGUGCAAGAGGGGAGAGUGGAAUUCCAUGUGUAGCGGUGAAAUGCGUAGAUAUAUGGAGGAACACCGGUGGCGAAAGCGGCUCUCUGGCUUGUAACUGACGCUGAGGCUCGAAAGCGUGGGGAGCAAACAGGAUUAGAUACCCUGGUAGUCCACGCCGUAAACGAUGAGUGCUAGGUGUUAGACCCUUUCCGGGGUUUAGUGCCGUAGCUAACGCAUUAAGCACUCCGCCUGGGGAGUACGACCGCAAGGUUG
RNAcentral lists this ribosomal RNA (550 nucleotides) under uncultured bacterium. Its description in RNAcentral is "bacterial SSU rRNA". It matches the Rfam family "Bacterial small subunit ribosomal RNA", at positions 355 to 896 of the family's 1533-position model. The record is from RNAcentral.